UAAGAAUUUUAAAUACAAUUUUAGAAAAAUUUUACCUGAAGAACAGUUACGAGUUCAUAAAAACCAUACCUUUAUUUUGCUUAAAAUCUUUAAGUUUCAAAGCUUUUAAAUACCUUGUGUCUACGCAUUUUCCUGCAUUUAUCACAUAUAUUGCAUUUAUUGCAUUUACUUUGCAUUCUCUGCAUUUAUCAUACACAUUUUCAAAAAUGUAGCUUUAAUAUAAUACAAAGUUAUCAUUCGUAUCUUCUCAUUAGAUAUAUGUAAAUUUUGAUUAAUCUUGAUAAUCGCUACGAUACCAUUCAGUAUGACAGUGUCGUUAUUUAUGAGGCAUAAUGCAAUCAUCGAGUUCUCCCACGUAACGUUUGUAAUAUCUUAUCUGUUAUAGAUUACCAUAUCGCAAACAUUGUCUAUUUAAUAAAAUGCACUGGAGUGCAUAGUACAUAGCAAGUUUCGUAGUGUAAGCGUUAGAGAAAGAUAUUACCUGAGUCGUCGAUAAGGUAGACAAUAACUGAUAUUAGCUUGGAGCGAAAUAAUCAAGUGAUUUAAGAGUGAUUAGAUGAGCGCGCUGUAGGCGAGAAGUUUGAGGGAGCGUGACUUAUAAAAAAUGCAAAAUUGUAAGGAAAGAUAUAAGCGAAGGAUCACGAUGACGAGUCGCGUAGUAACCAAGAGAGAGAACGGUCACAAGAAAAUCGAGAGACGAGGGAUUGUCUCAGGACGAAAUUGAGAGUGCGACUUGAGAUUCUCGACGGACUCCAGGAAAUUUCUUUCUCCGCGGAGUUGGUAUUUGAGAAUUUGUAACGGGGUACAGACGGAUAUCACUUUAUACGUAUCUUGAGCUUACAGCUUAUAAUAGUUAACUUUCUUUUUUACAAUUUUACAAAUGGAUAUCCGUCGAGAUAAAAGAUUCGAUAGCACAGUUCAUUCAGAGAAUGUGUGUGCGAAUAUUCACAAAGUGAAGAAUGCCAAUACGAUUUGCGCAAAUAAAGAUGAAAGUUAUCGUAACGACACGACGCGGAAAAAAUCAGAAUUCCAUGUCAAAUAUCGCGAUCGCGUUUAUAAUAUACAAAGUUUCUUAAAUUAUCAUCCGGGAGGAAAAAAUACGCUUACACCUUUGAAGGAUCAAAUCCUAGAUGGUGAAUUAGCGAAACAUCCUCAUUCCAAAUCUGCCUACUAUCUUCUCGAAGAAUUUGCCAUGCAAUUCCAAGAGAGAUAUAACGAGUGCGAAGAUUUAGUUAAUUGGGAUGCGCCGAUAUUGCGGCAAGUGGGCCUUAUGGGCGAUCGAUAUUGGGAAUGGGUAAACCUGCCAGUAAACCGACCUAUACGAUUUUUUCAAUCGGACAUUUUAGAAUUAUUAUCAAUCACGCCAUGGUACAUCAUGCCGAUCGUCUGGUUUCCCAUAGUUAUAUAUUUCUUUUACAUGGGAUGUGUUGGAAAUAUUUCGACAAGCAUCGUGAUCACGUUGCAAAGGAUUUUACCGUCAUUCGUUCUGGGGAUAUUUAUCUGGACCGUUAUGGAAUAUUUCGUACAUCGGAAAGUAUUUCAUUUAAAACCACCGCAUAAUUCGAAGUUACUGAUUACUUUGCAUUUCCUAUUUCAUGGGAGUCAUCAUAAGGCACCAUUGGAUGAACGAAGAUUGGUGUUUCCACCGAUAUUAAGUUUAACCGUAGCAGCGAUUGUUUGGCAAAUUUACAAAGCCAUAUUUCCUUUGGAAAUAGUUAAUCUUGUCGGCGCUGGUACUAUAACGGGUAUGCUACUCAUAAAAAAAAUCUUCCGGCUAUUUAUGUUAUGAUCUAAUGCACUAUUAUUUGCAUAAUGGAGCACCGAAAGACGAAUCGUAUUUGUAUACAAUGAAAAGAAGACACAAUUAUCAUCACUUUUUACAUCAUAAUCAAGGAUUUGGAGUUACCAGUGAAUUGUGGGAUCGAUUACUCAAGACGGAUCUAAGUUUACGAAAAUUAGACAAACCAUUAGAAUGGUAAAACAAUAAUGAAAAAGAAAGAUAUAGCAGCGUUUAUAUUUAUUCAUGGUAUUCCUUUUUUUAAAUAUUUUGAUCGCAUAAAUAAUAAUUCCUUAUUAAUAUAAUCACAACUGUAAUUACAAUAAGUACAGAGAUUGUACUCCUUGUAAUAAUUAAAUAUAACUCAGUCCCAUAAAGAUUUAAGUACACACCUAAGUUUUUAAGAGAUUCAAUAGCUUUCUAGUAUAUAUAAAUUAAUGACUACAUGCGCACACAAAUUUCUCAAAAAAUGACAAUACAAUGCACUAACAAAGACAAAUAUUGAGAAUUAGUAUUUGAUGAGUAGAUGAUCUUUUCUUUAUAUUUAUUCGAUAAAUAAUGUUAAACGGUUUUAAACCAGCAAAGUUGUUAAUAUUUUAAGUAUAUAACCCAUGAUAUACCCAUGGUUUUAAGUCCAUUUAUCUCCUUUCAAACCUAAUAUCACAAAUGUGUCCAAAGUUAAAAGAAAAGUAAAGUACAUACUGUGCCGUAGAUAUAUAUUGUUAUUGAGAUCUCAAAGUAUAUUUAUAUUGUGGCAUUUAGCCGUUAUGAAAUAAAUUAUACCUGAGUACAACA
Molecule: RNA transcript, 2572 nt
Organism: Formica exsecta
Lineage: Eukaryota; Metazoa; Arthropoda; Insecta; Hymenoptera; Formicidae
Gene: Fa2h
Gene name: fatty acid 2-hydroxylase
Exons: 6
Source: RefSeq, a predicted model, not a curated record